CACCUAAUCUAGGCAAAAAUAAUGGGGGUUUAGUUAUGUUAUAUGUAACUAAACCCCCAUUAUUUUUGCCCUGAUUAGGUA
Molecule: non-coding RNA, 81 nt
Organism: Pelobates cultripes (western spadefoot toad)
Lineage: Eukaryota; Metazoa; Chordata; Amphibia; Anura; Pelobatidae
Source: the annotation of a GenBank genome assembly